GGGAGGUAGUGACAAUAAAUAACAAUACGGGGUCCUUUAGGGUCUCGUAAUUGGAAUGAGUACAAUUUAAAUCUCUUAACGAGGAACAAUUGGAGGGCAAGUCUGGUGCCAGCAGCCGCGGUAAUUCCAGCUCCAAUAGCGUAUAUUAAAGUUGUUGCAGUUAAAAAGCUCGUAGUUGAACCUUAGGCCCGUGCGGGCGGUCCGUCCUCUGGGCGAGCACUGCUCCGUCGCGGGUCUCACCUUCUGGCGAGCGUGGAUGCCAUUUAUUUGGUGUCCGCGGGAACCAGGACCUUUACCUUGAAAAAAUUAGAGUGCUCAAAGCGGGCUCCGACGCUUGAAUACAUUAGCAUGGAAUAAUGAAAUAGGACGAUGGUUCUAUUUUGUUGGUUUCCGGGACGGUCGUAAUGAUUAAUAGGGAUAGUUGGG
Molecule: ribosomal RNA, 426 nt
Filed under: uncultured Paraglomeraceae
Lineage: Eukaryota; Fungi; Glomeromycota; Glomeromycetes; Paraglomerales
Description: SSU rRNA
Rfam family: Eukaryotic small subunit ribosomal RNA
Source: RNAcentral